GAGUUUGAUCCUGGCUCAGGACGAACGCUGGCGGCGUGCCUAACACAUGCAAGUCGAGCGGAGAUAGACUUCGGUCUAUUUUAGCGGCGGACGGGUGAGUAACGCGUGAGUAACCUGCCUCUAAGCGGGGGAUAACACAGCGAAAGCUGUGCUAAUACCGCAUAAAGUUUACAUACCGCAUGGUAAGUAAACCAAAGGAGUAAUUCACUUAGAGAUGGACUCGCGUCCGAUUAGCUAGUUGGCGAGGUAACUGCUCACCAAGGCGACGAUCGGUAGCCGGACUGAGAGGUCGAACGGCCACAUUGGGACUGGGACAC
RNAcentral lists this ribosomal RNA (317 nucleotides) under uncultured low G+C Gram-positive bacterium 53ev. Its description in RNAcentral is "bacterial SSU rRNA". It matches the Rfam family "Bacterial small subunit ribosomal RNA", at positions 9 to 327 of the family's 1533-position model. Lineage: Bacteria; Bacillati; Bacillota. The record is from RNAcentral.